UUGUACUAAUAUAGCAUAUAACUGAUAUCUCUCUGCCCUAGUAUUCUUAAUGCAUUUAUGUGGAUUAUAUGGGCAUUUAUGUUUGCUUUCAGUAAUGGGAUAAAUAUAUAUUUAUAUAUUAUAUAGGAGAGUAUUAAUACUUUUUUAUGACAUAUAGUUCUAAUAUUGUACUUAUAAUGACGAUAAACUGUAUUAUAAGUUUAAGACUAUAUUGUUCCAUUUCUGCAGAUUCAGCAGCUCCUGAUUAUGAUGCUGGCAUGUCCAAUAACAGCGGACUUCCCAAUCAGGAGCAAGAGUCUGAGCCAGAGAAGGACACUGAGGAUGAUAAUUCCACCUCUUCCAGUCCUCCAUUACCAGUAAGUAGAUUCUACAGAUAUUAUUCUUUAACAGGCACAAAAGCUUAGGAGGGUUCUUAAGUUAUACAAAAACCAAUAAGUAUAAUUAGAUGAGUAAAUCUUUACUUCAAGGUUUGCAUUUGCAAACUGUUCAUUCUUAAUGGUGCACAUGUGAAAUUCUUGCAAUGUUCAUUCUGUGCAUAAUGCUCAUUUGUCCUUUAUUUGCAGCUCUGCAGUCCUGACUUUGGCUCAGAUUUUGACAAUAAAAUACAGGGUGCUGAAGGACCAUCUAUCAGCCCUGUUGAGCCCAGAUCUCCCUCACUUGAAAAUUUCAACCUGGGCCCAGUGUUGGGAGAAGGAGCAUUUGGGAAGGUAUUCCUAGCCGAGCACAAAAACACCAAAGAACUAUGUGCUAUCAAGGCCCUGAAAAAAGAGGAGAUUUUGAAAAGGGGCAACUUGGACAGUGUCUUCAAAGAGAAGGAAAUCCUCCAGAGGGUGAGUUCUGCCGAACACCCGUUCCUAGUGUCAAUGCAUGGAACCUUCCAGACGGAGUCUCACCUAUUUUGUGUGAUGGAAUAUCUCCCUGGAGGUGACAUGUAUGAAUUUGUAACAUCUGUGGAACUGCAAGAACCUGACAUCAUGUAAGUAGAAUGGGAAUGAGGGAAUAAGUUUUUCAAAGGGGCACUUUCAGUGAAGCAUCAUCUCAGCAUAUAUUUUUACAAUGUAACGUAAUACAAGCAAAGCUACACCUAUCAUACAGAUAACUAUCUUUCUUCUCACUAUGAUCACCUCAAUUCUCACAUCAGCUUAUAUAUCAAUAAAGAAAAAAUAUUUAAAGUAACUAAAUUUUAUUUUUUCUCUUUUCAGGUUUUACACCGCAUGUGUCGUUCUUGGCCUGGAGGCAUUACACCACCUUGGCAUUGUCCAUAGAGAUAUAAAGCUUGAGAAUUUGCUGUUGGACCGGGAUGGCUACCUUAAGAUCGUAGACUUCGGCCUCAGCAAAGACAGUAAGUGUUGCUUAUAAUUCUGGGGCAUACAGGGGAUAAGAUCAGGUUAUUAGGUAUUGUUAUAUUUAGAUAUAGUGUUAUUACGCUCCUCUACUGACCUGCUCCUCAACUC
Molecule: long non-coding RNA, 1454 nt
Organism: Xenopus tropicalis (tropical clawed frog)
Lineage: Eukaryota; Metazoa; Chordata; Amphibia; Anura; Pipidae
Exons: 5
Source: RefSeq, a predicted model, not a curated record